RNAcentral lists this ribosomal RNA (70 nucleotides) under Pseudomonas fluorescens. Lineage: Bacteria; Pseudomonadati; Pseudomonadota; Gammaproteobacteria; Pseudomonadales; Pseudomonadaceae. RNAcentral also lists the same sequence under 3 other names. The record is from RNAcentral.
CUUGACGACCAUAGAGCAUUGGAACCACCUGAUCCCAUCCCGAACUCAGCAGUGAAACGAUGCAUCGCCG